This 742-nucleotide ribosomal RNA is filed under the name Paracoccus denitrificans. Its description in RNAcentral is "partial 16S ribosomal RNA". It matches the Rfam family "Bacterial small subunit ribosomal RNA", at positions 93 to 875 of the family's 1533-position model. Lineage: Bacteria; Pseudomonadati; Pseudomonadota; Alphaproteobacteria; Rhodobacterales; Paracoccaceae. The record is from RNAcentral.
GAGCGGCGGACGGGUGAGUAACGCGUGGGAAUAUGCCCUUUGGUACGGAAUAGUCCUGGGAAACUGGGGGUAAUACCGUAUGCGCCCUUCGGGGGAAAGAUUUAUCGCCAAAGGAUUAGCCCGCGUUGGAUUAGGUAGUUGGUGGGGUAAUGGCCUACCAAGCCGACGAUCCAUAGCUGGUUUGAGAGGAUGAUCAGCCACACUGGGACUGAGACACGGCCCAGACUCCUACGGGAGGCAGCAGUGGGGAAUCUUAGACAAUGGGGGCAACCCUGAUCUAGCCAUGCCGCGUGAGUGAUGAAGGCCCUAGGGUUGUAAAGCUCUUUCAGCUGGGAAGAUAAUGACGGUACCAGCAGAAGAAGCCCCGGCUAACUCCGUGCCAGCAGCCGCGGUAAUACGGAGGGGGCUAGCGUUGUUCGGAAUUACUGGGCGUAAAGCGCACGUAGGCGGACNGNAAAGUUGGGGGUGAAAUCCCGGGGCUCANCCCGGAACUGCNUUNAAACUAUCGGUCUGGAGUUCGAGAGAGGUGAGUGNANUCCGAGUGUAGAGGUGAAAUUCGUAGAUAUUCGGAGGAACACCAGUGGCGAAGGCGGCUCACUGGCUCGAUACUGACGCUGAGGUGCNAAAGCGUGGGGNGCAAACAGGAUNGAUACCCNGGNAGUNCACGCCGUAAACGAUGAAUGCCAGUCGUCGGCCAGCAUGCUGUUCGGNGACCCACCUAANGNAUUAAGCAUUCCGCNUG